GAUCCUGGCUCAGGAUGGACGCUAGCUACAGGCUUAACACAUGCAAGUCGAGGGGAAACGACAUCGAAAGCUUGCUCCCGAUAGGCGUCGACCGGCGCACGGGUGAGUAACGCGUAUCCAACCUGCCCACCACUUGGGGAUAACCUUGCGAAAGUAAGACUAAUACCCAAUGAUAUCUCUAGAAGACAUCUGAAAGAGAUUAAAGAUUUAUCGGUGAUGGAUGG
Molecule: ribosomal RNA, 224 nt
Filed under: uncultured bacterium
Lineage: Bacteria
Description: partial 16S ribosomal RNA
Rfam family: Bacterial small subunit ribosomal RNA
Source: RNAcentral